RNAcentral lists this ribosomal RNA (252 nucleotides) under uncultured prokaryote. Its description in RNAcentral is "partial 16S ribosomal RNA". It matches the Rfam family "Bacterial small subunit ribosomal RNA", at positions 355 to 599 of the family's 1533-position model. The record is from RNAcentral.
CUAAGAAUAUUCCGCAAUGGACGAAAGUCUGACGGAGCGACGCCGCGUGGAUGAAGAAGGCCGCAAGGUUGUAAAAUCCUUUUGCUGGGGAAGAAUAAGUCCAGGAGGGAAUGCCUGGAUGAUGACAUGAACCGGCGAAUAAGCCCCGGCCAACUACGUGCCAGCAGCCGCGGUCACACGUAGGGGGCAAUCGUUGUUCGGAAUUACUGGGCGUAAAGGGCAUGUAGGCGGUUGAGUAAGCUUGGCGUGAGA